GGCGCUAUAGCCAAGUGGUUACGGCGACAGAUUAGAAUCAUAAUUCAUCUGUUCCUCUUUGAGGGCGCAGGUUCAAAUCCUGCUGGCGUCG
Molecule: non-coding RNA, 91 nt
Organism: Infundibulicybe gibba
Lineage: Eukaryota; Fungi; Basidiomycota; Agaricomycetes; Agaricales; Omphalinaceae
Source: the annotation of a GenBank genome assembly